AUUGAACGCUGGCGGCAUGCCUUACACAUGCAAGUCGAACGGCAGCACGGGAGCAAUCCUGGUGGCGAGUGGCGAACGGGUGAGUAAAGUAUCGGAACGUGCCCAGUCGUGGGGGAUAACGUAGCGAAAGUUACGCUAAUACCGCAUACGAUCUAUGGAUGAAAGCGGGGGAUCGCAAGACCUCGCGCGAUCGGAGCGGCCGAUAUCAGAUUAGGUAGUUGGUGGGGUAAAGGCUCACCAAGCCGACGAUCUGUAGCUGGUCUGAGAGGAUGACCAGCCACACUGGGACUGAGACACGGCCCAGACUCCUACGGGGGGCAGCAGUGGGGAAUUUUGGACAAUGGGCGAAAGCCUGAUCCAGCCAUGCCGCGUGCAGGAUGAAGGCCUUCGGGUUGUAAACUGCUUUUGUACGGAACGAAAAGGUUUGGCCUAAUAAGCUGAGCUCAUGACGGUACCGUAAGAAUAAGCACCGGCUAACUACGUGCCAGCCGCCGCUGUAA
Molecule: ribosomal RNA, 500 nt
Filed under: uncultured bacterium
Lineage: Bacteria
Description: partial 16S ribosomal RNA
Rfam family: Bacterial small subunit ribosomal RNA
Source: RNAcentral